GUGGGGAAUCUUAGACAAUGGGGGCAACCCUGAUCUAGCCAUGCCGCGUGAGUGAUGAAGGCCUUAGGGUCGUAAAGCUCUUUCGCCGGGGAAGAUAAUGACGGUACCCGGUAAAGAAACCCCGGCUAACUCCGUGCCAGCAGCCGCGGUAAUACGGAGGGGGUUAGCGUUGUUCGGAAUUACUGGGCGUAAAGCGCGCGUAGGCGGAUCGGAAAGUUGGGGGUGAAAUCCCGGGGCUCAACCCCGGAAUUGCCUUCAAAACUCCCGGUCUUGAGGUCGAGAGAGGUGAGUGGAAUUCCGAGUGUAGAGGUGAAAUUCGUAGAUAUUCGGAGGAACACCAGUGGCGAAGGCGGCUCACUGGCUCGAUACUGACGCUGAGGUGCGAAAGCGUGGGGAGCAAACAGGAUUAGAAACCCUAGUAGUCC
This 425-nucleotide ribosomal RNA is filed under the name uncultured bacterium. RNAcentral describes it as "partial 16S ribosomal RNA". It matches the Rfam family "Bacterial small subunit ribosomal RNA", at positions 354 to 796 of the family's 1533-position model. The record is from RNAcentral.